Long non-coding RNA from Daucus carota subsp. sativus, 226 nucleotides. RefSeq lists it as uncharacterized. NCBI's taxonomy places the organism in Eukaryota, Viridiplantae, Streptophyta, Magnoliopsida, Apiales, Apiaceae. The record is from RefSeq and is a predicted model, not a curated record. The transcript has 3 exons.
CUUUGUUCCUGUAGGUUAUUUCAAGGAACAACAGAGGUACCUGGACUAAGAGCGUUGUCUCAUGGAUGCAACAGGACGCAAACGGAAUCUGCCCGGAUCAACUUCUCCAAAUGCUUCGCGUAUUUCCCAGCGACGUAGGAUUGUUCCGACCAUUCCAGAUGAAAGCACCAAUCCGCCUAUUUGUGAUGAAACUGUUGUUAAAGCUCAAGCCGGUCGUGAUGAAUGC